RNAcentral lists this long non-coding RNA (269 nucleotides) under Bos taurus (domestic cattle). RNAcentral describes it as "long non-coding RNA NONBTAT025827". Lineage: Eukaryota; Metazoa; Chordata; Mammalia; Artiodactyla; Bovidae. The record is from RNAcentral.
UUCAUCUUCAGCCAUGGAGACAGUUCAUUGAACCUCAGCACCAAAGUUUAAAACAUUGAAAAACAAGAACAUCAGAAAGAGGGAUCCUUUGUAGGAAGAAGAGGGUUCUCUAGACCUGUUAGACAAUAGUAUUGACUCUCAGCAAACAGUUUUAAUAUUGGAGCAGGAGAUGGAGCUGUCCUUAUCGUGCCCUCUCUAACACACUUUCCUAGUUCCUAGUAAUAAUACUCUUAGUGUUUUCCUCUAAGAAUUAAUCCUUGAUUCUGCCC